This 253-nucleotide ribosomal RNA is filed under the name uncultured bacterium. Its description in RNAcentral is "partial 16S ribosomal RNA". It matches the Rfam family "Bacterial small subunit ribosomal RNA", at positions 524 to 776 of the family's 1533-position model. The record is from RNAcentral.
UACGGGGGGGGCAAGCGUUGUUCGGAAUUACUGGGCGUAAAGGGUUCGUAGGUGGCUUGCUAAGUCAGACGUGAAAUCCCUCAGCUUAACUGGGGAACUGCGUCUGAUACUGGCGAGCUUGAGUGCAGGAGAGGAACGCAGAAUUCCUGGUGUAGCGGUGAAAUGCGCAGAUAUCAGGAGGAACACCAAUGGCGAAGGCAGCUCGCUGGGACGUGACUGACGCUGAGACGCGAAAGCGUGGGGAGCAAACAGG